Eucalyptus grandis is the source of this 795-nucleotide long non-coding RNA. RefSeq lists it as uncharacterized. The transcript has 2 exons. NCBI's taxonomy places the organism in Eukaryota, Viridiplantae, Streptophyta, Magnoliopsida, Myrtales, Myrtaceae. The record is from RefSeq and is a predicted model, not a curated record.
CCACUUUCUCUCUUAGACAACCAUUUCUCUCUCUCUUUCGCUCUCUUUCUCGGCAAAACGGUCGAAUGGCUUCUCUCUCUCUCUCUCCCUUACUAAUUCUCCCGUCGCAACCGAGAGAAGCAAGCAACAACUACCCUUCGUCGGAUAGAGCUCCCCUCUCGAUCUCGCUCUCGCCUCCGGCGUUUCUCUGAUCCCCUGACCACGCCCCUUUCCCCUCACAACAAUCAUUAGCAAACGGUGAAACUGAGUCAGCCACGCUUCCUGCAGCGGAGGUUGCCAUCCUCGCAGCAGCUGCUCCUUGCCGCGAUCCUGAUGUUCGACCUCGUCGUGUUGAUCCUCUUCGCGCUCGACGUGUUAUCGUUCCCGAACAGCGGCGGCUCCUCCUCCGUUACUCCACUCCAAUAGACGAAGAAGUUGUCGUCGGCAGAUCCGUGUCGCUGGAGCUUAACUUUUACAGAUAUGAUAAUCCUCAACGUUUGUGAAGAGUUGUUGAGCUUGAUUGUUGAUCGAUUAAGCCUAAAUCGAUCGGAUUGCGCAAAAGAGUUGAAGACGACUCGAAGACCUUUCCAACGACCCAUAGAGCAUUCCGAUCUGAUGUCGUUUACUACCUGAAAAUAGCUCGGCAUUUAGCACCAGUUUCUGGAAAAUUGUUGUUUUCUGACUUGCUCUCUAUUUCGGAUGACCUUCUGUGCAAAUGACUUGAUAUCAGCUUGUAAAUGUAAUUUUCUGUGUUUGAAGUCCUCAUGAAAGUCGUAGUAUACUUCAUGGGCUUUUCAAUAAUAUAAAUUUUGCACC